Molecule: ribosomal RNA, 465 nt
Filed under: Vreelandella stevensii
Lineage: Bacteria; Pseudomonadati; Pseudomonadota; Gammaproteobacteria; Oceanospirillales; Halomonadaceae
Description: partial 16S ribosomal RNA
Rfam family: Bacterial small subunit ribosomal RNA
Source: RNAcentral
CCUACGGGGGGCAGCAGUGGGGAAUAUUGGACAAUGGGCGAAAGCCUGAUCCAGCCAUGCCGCGUGUGUGAAGAAGGCCUUCGGGUUGUAAAGCACUUUCAGUGGGGAAGAAAGCCUUGGGGCUAAUACCCUCGAGGAAGGACAUCACCCACAGAAGAAGCACCGGCUAACUCCGUGCCAACAGCCGCGGUAAUACGGAGGGUGCGAGCGUUAAUCGGAAUUACUGGGCGUAAAGCGCGCGUAGGCGGUCUGAUAAGCCGGUUGUGAAAGCCCCGGGCUCAACCUGGGAACGGCAUCCGGAACUGUCAGGCUAGAGUGCAGGAGAGGAAGGUAGAAUUCCCGGUGUAGCGGUGAAAUGCGUAGAGAUCGGGAGGAAUACCAGUGGCGAAGGCGGCCUUCUGGACUGACACUGACGCUGAGGUGCGAAAGCGUGGGUAGCAAACAGGAUUAGAUACCCGAGUAGUC